Molecule: long non-coding RNA, 6345 nt
Organism: Equus caballus (horse)
Lineage: Eukaryota; Metazoa; Chordata; Mammalia; Perissodactyla; Equidae
Source: Ensembl
UAUUCAGCAAAUUAUUUAAUUUCUCUGCACCUAAAUUUGCUCAGUCAUGAAAUAUGGCUCAUUUUACCUAUUUCAUAGGGUUGCUCAAGGAUUAAAUGAGACAGCAUAAGUCACAUGCCUGCCUCAUAAUAGGUGCUCAAUAGAAGGGAGCUAUAUUACAGUGGCAGGAAAGGAAAUAAUGGAUUCAAGUACCUGAAAGGUUUGCCUCUGAGGGAGUGUCAGAUUGCAUUCUGCACAUAAAUAAUGCUCCCCGAACCCAAAAGAUCAUUGUCAUUUUUUGUCAUGUGCUAAAAUAUUAUCAGUAGAGACCCUGGAGGAAUCAAUGUGACAGUGUUUGAAUGAAUUAAUGAAGUUGCUCGCCUCAGCCAGGACUCUUUUCGCUUCUUUCCUCCAGGUGUACAAUCUAUUUAAAAAUCUGGGGGCUGGCCCCAUGGCCUAGUGGUUAAGUUCGGUGUGCUGCACUUCAGUGGCCCGGGUUUGGUUCCCAGAUGCAGACCCACACCACUCGUCAGCAGCCAUGCUGUGGUGGUGACCCACAUACAAAAUAGAGGAAGUUUGGCACAGAUGUUAGUUCAGGGCGAAUCUUCCUCAGCAAAAAAAGCAAAGUAAAGUAAAGUAAAAUAAAUAAAUAAAAAUCUGUACACUAGUGCUUAAUAAUUCUCUCUUACAACUUUUUCACAGAGCUUUUGCUGAAUGCUUUCACAGCUCUUAGAGUCAAAUUAUGUCACACACUUGACCAUUGUAUUCAUAGGACCAGAUAUUUGGGGCCUAAAGUAUAUAAACAUACAAUGAUGAGUAAGUGAAGUAUUUCAUAUUUAAAUGAUAAAGAAAUAUUAUUUUUAAGUUUGCUCCUGAUGGAUAGAUCUGAAAUGGCUAAAAAAAUUAAUUUUCGUAAAUGAGAGAAUGAGAAUAUGCCCAAAGAGGCUAAUUCUGGGCUGGGAAUAGCAAUAGUGAAAAAGAGUUCUCUAAUCAAAAAGCCUUAGAAGUGGAAACUUUGCCCUCUAUAUAAAGAGGCAUUAAUGAUGCAACCUGGGUAGUAUCUUCAGGCUUGGCCUAGAGCCAUCUUAAAAGGAAGGAAACCUUUGAUCUUUGGAGGAGGGUGUCUGGUUGUAGAGAUCCUACCUUUGGAGAUAAGAGGCUGGCAGGCCCACUGCAUUCUAGCUUUCACUUGACAGAGGAAGUCAAGAACCAAGAGACCAGAGCUGACUGGGUCGGCUCUGAGACAUCCCCUGGGUUGUUAUUUUUGUUGCCUGGGUCAGUUUCCUAUGAUGAUUACCAAUAAAAUCUCUAAAAUCAUCUUUAAAAAUAAUGUUCAUUCUGUAGUAGUGAUAGGAAACCGUUCUGUAGUCGGUAGCCAGACUUCAGUGUGGGGAGAAAAAUCAUCAAGGAUGGAGAGAAGCAACCAUGAAAGAGAGAGAAGCAGGCUGAGUCCCGGAGGCCUUGGUGAGGAAGAAAGCAGGAGAUCUGGCCGGAGAAGGGCUGCUGAGGAUCUCAGACAGUGUAGGAUCCAGCAAGGAAACUGCUGUCUCUUAGGUUCUAACAAUUCAAGCUUUUUGUUUCUUCUCUCCAGGUUUACAAUCUAUUUAAAACUCUGUACUUUAGUACGUAAUAAUUCUUUCUUACAACUUUUUCACAGAGCUUUCCGAAAGAAUUUAUCUUCUGGGUUUGGGGAAUGCUGAGAAGUCCAGCUCACUAGGAAAUAAAUUCAACCUGAUGACUUAAGCAAACUUCCUGAAUGGCCAAUGUAUGAAUUUAUCUCCAAUUCAAGAAUGAACAGAGCAUUGUCUUACCAAAUGUCAUCAUUUCCUGCCUUUGAGAAGGGACUAGAAAGACUUGUGCUGAACCAAUUCAGAGUAUUUUAGGUAGGUCUUCAACUGAAACCUGGAAAUCAAAGCAAAAGAGAAGAAAGAUAAAUAAAUAAAAACAAAAUCUGUGCGCUUCGGGAAACAAGUGGUUUGGAGGAAAAGCUAAUUUUCAAAGGUCUCCAUCGGCCCCGUGGCCACUCCCUUCUCUUCUAGGACCUUUCCGCCUCCCUUCAUUUCAGCUUUGAGUUAGGAAUACUGGAACUGAUCACUUUUCAGCCUCAAUAAGUCCUUGCUAAUUAUUUUAACAUUUCAGGUUCAGGAAACCCAAGCCCAGUGUUUGUGAAGUGUGCUUUGCCUUGAUUUGUAUGUCCUCUUAUAUUUCAAGGGAAGUUGGGUCCAUGUGUUUCUGAUUCAUUUCUACUUAACUCAUCAAGACAUUGUUCCAUGAAGGCCAUUUGAUGUCCGAAGAGUCUGCUAAAACUUUUGUUCGUGAAACCAUAAAGUCAGUGAAGUAAUACGCAGUUUAUAACAAAAGCACAGGAUUAGGAGCCCCAAGAAUUAGCUCUCCGGACCCCCAUCCCUGACCUUUCAUACCACCAGGAAGCCCUUAUCUACAUAUCCGUGUAAUCUGGGUAGAGAUAACAAUGUUUUAUGCAAAGAUGAGAGAAUUUUAUAAUAAAAUAUAAUUUUGGAGAGUCUUUUUUAAGAGUAAGGCAUGUUAUAAACCAACAUCAAAAUAGCUUUCGAGUUGAAAGAAUGAGUUUUUGCCUGGUUUUGAGGCUGUUAUAGUAGUUUUCCUGGCCAAGUAACAUAACGCAAAAUUAAAAUUUCAAAUGGUGAUUAGAUGAAACAUGCCUCCACCUGAAAGCAUAAUCUUUACAUGGAUUUUACACUGUGGAAAGCGCACUAUGUUUCCUACUGGUUUCCUUUUUGAGCUAACAAUCAUGUCACCAAUCUGUUUAACAAGUUGCGGGAAGAUAAGGGGUAGAUAUUUGCCAUAGGGGGACCUUUCUGUUUCUCGUUCAAAGGCAGACAUUCUCCUGAAAUUUCACUUUGGAGCACAGAUAGUGAAGCUAAAGUUACUCUAAAUGGAGUAGUGACAAACUUAGCAGGUAUCAACGAUGAAGCACAUUUUUGUUUCUUCAUUUAUUUCAACUUUCCACUGAGUUCAUUAUUGUGCUGUCUCUUGCUGGUCUGUGGGUUCUCAGGUGGCAACACUGAUGGUUUACUGUGUCCCCAGAGGGCAUGAUAGGAUUCAGGAAUCAGUUUUGACUGGGGUCAACAGUAGAAGUCAAGGGAGUUCUCAAUCACAAUAACAACAAAAUUACGGAAAACAGGUUCACGCAAACUAAUAGCCAUUCCUCUCAAGCUUUUUCAUCUGCAGGGCACCUAGCAGAGAAGAGAGAGGCCAUGGGGCUGAUGGAGACCUUUGAAAAUUAGGUUUUUCCCCAAACCAUUUGUUCCAAGCUCACAAACUUUGUAUUUAUUUAUUUUCUCUCAGUCACUCGAUCUCCAAGCAGUGGCCUGGUAUCAGGCACAGGGCCCAGUCAAAUGUGUCGUAAGCACCACCCAGAACAGACUGAGACACACAGGCAGACGGUCAGCAGACAUGUAGCCCCCGUUCUCAGGAUCUGGAAAAGGAGUGGUUGGGCUGAGCACAGCCAGAUCCACCCUGGCUGUGCUGCAGGAGAGGGACCCAGCCCCUCUUCUGUUCUUUUUAUACAAUUCUCCAGACAGCAGCCUUGUGAUAAGGGGACAAAACAAUCUAAGCUUCGUCACCAGCUGCCCAGAGGAAGUACAUGCCAGUGCUGGGUAUACCAGCUGCCUGGCCCAAAUAUUCCUCGGAGACCUUGUGGCCAGUGGAGACUGGCCACUGCCCCUCCUGCCGAGGUGACAAGUGGUAACUGAUCCCAGCUGGCUCCUGCCAGCCAACCUAGAGAGAUUCACUGGUCAAGCUUCUGGGUCUCUCCACAAUUGGCAGCUGUUGAGACCCAGUAGGAGGGCACCCACUACCUGCCCAGGGCGCGGGAUGAGGGAAUCAGGAAAGAUAAAACAUCUGUAUUUGAACCAUGGCAAACAAACAACCACCACAAAAACCUAAGGGCUAGCCUUCUGGAGUUCACAGUCUAGGGAACAAGGUCAGAAAAAAGACAAGGAUCAUACAAUAUAGGAAAUGAUCUUACAGAGGUAUGCAUGCCUCCAGUGAUAUCACAAAUAAGGUGGUCGCCAACCCUGAUGGCAGGAGGGAGGGUUCUUGGGAGCCUUCCCAAGAAGUAUGUGCUCGCGAUGGGAAGGCAGUCCUGCAGGUCGGGCGAAGCGGGUAGCGGGCGGAGGGCACGACAUGUAGGCAGGAACCUAAUUACACAGAGCUAAAGAAAGCUGGGAGGAACUAGACCCUCCCCGACCCCAUUUUACAUUUUCUGGAAGAGUCCAACCAUAAGAACCUAAAGUCCAACAGUAUAUAAGGGUUUCCCCCAGUUCCACAAACAACUAAGCAAUGCCAGGUAUGUUUCAAAAGCGAAGACUCUUUCAGGACCCUCUCAAGUCUCAAAUGUCUGCUGUCACCUUCUCCUACCUGAGUGGCCUGCUUGAUGCCCUCUUCCAGACUGGUUAUUGAGCUGGGCAAUAUUACCUAAACUUCUUUUCUGACAGCCUUUGGCUGGGGGUUGUUUCCAUCCACCUGGGGUACCCAAAGACCCCUGCACCUUAUCCAUCUGAAAAGGAGAGUGAAUUUCCUUCUGGUCAGGCCAAAGAACACAGCUCCUGUAACAAAACUCAAAGCUCUGAUAAUAAGAGAUUCCGUCCUUUUAAGUUUUGUUGUAUCUAACUGUUCCUGCUUCAGAAUCUCAGAGGCUUGACCAAGGUGGAGCAUAGUGUCAUCUCCAAGUCCCCAUGUGUUCUGGGUCAUGGGAAAGCUGAUAUGCUAUCUCCGUUAAAGGCCUACAUGGCUUGGCCCUGUAACUACGUUCCAUUUGUAUCCGGGGAGCCAGGGCACUCCAGUCCCCUACUAAUCGGCUCCCAGAGGCACUUGGCAGCCCCGCUCCGUCCCCGUCACUCUUUCUCUACAGCCAGGCAGUGAAUGAAAUGACAUUCUUGGUAGCUCUGAAGGGCUUUGAGUCCUGAAGUUCCAAAUUCAUAGCUCUUAAGCUGGCGUGAAACAGCCCUUGCUUUAGCUAUUAGGGUGCACCUAGGAGAAAUGGGAAACAAAAUUUAGAAGCACAUAAAUAGAUUUACUGCAUGUAAAUCUUAACAUCUUGAAAAGCAUAAUGCACUUAAAGGGAUGAAUCUGGCUGAGAUUGUAGAGAUGAUAAUGUAGUGAGAGUGUGUAUUUGUUAUCUAUUGCUGUAUAGCAGCAAAUCACCCCAAAACUUAGUGGUGUAAAAUAAUAAUAAUCACUUGUCUUUCAGGGUUCUGCGAUUCAGGAAUUUGGGAGUGGCUCAGCUGGGUGAUUUGGGUCUCACGGGGUUACAGGAAGAGGGUGACUGGGCUGGGGGCCAUUUUGAAGGGUUUUUCGCUAGCAUGCCUGGUGCCGCAGCUGGGAAGACUCACACAGCUGGUGGCCAGCACCACAGGGGCUCCUCCAGAUGGUGUCUCCACUUGCCCUCUGCAUCAUGGCAACUGUAGGGUAUCUGGAUUUCUUACAGGGCAGCUCAGGCUCCCCAAAGGCACAUCUCCUAAGAUACAGAGUCAUUUGGAGGCCGUGUCGCUGUUCCCCACCCAGCCGCAGAAGUGUCCGAGGGCUUCUUCUUCCUCACCCUAUUCAGCAGAAUCGAGUCACUGAGUCCGGCCGGUGUUUAAGGGGAAGGCAUGUGCUAAACAAUUGGGAGACAGAAGCAAAUUUACACAGUCCAUGCUUUCAAGGAGCUCACAGUCAAAAUUACCAUUCCAUGUGACGACAGCAACAUUAGGAGCAUAAGUGAGGCACAGAGAUGGAAUAGAGGGUACAUUUCCAGAAGUGGAAUUAUUGAGUGAAAAGGUGUUGGGAAGAUUCCUGCUACAGAGCAGCAACCAGAGCUCAGAGAGAUACACCAAUGUGCUCUCCCGCCUGCAGCAGUGAGAGAAGGGCUCGUCUUACCACCGUCAAAAUGAUCUUGCCUUUUCAGAUUCUGAAUUGAUUUGGGUUUGGAGCGUGAGAGGUUCUGAACAUCUGCAUGAGCUGGGAGAGCAGGAGGCAAGAGGAAAGGGGACAGGAGCAAGUUCAGAAGGAGGCCAAGGCUACUGUCCUGAAAUGAAGAAGUAUGUUCCCUGCCUAGACUGGCUUGGGACAAGAAUCUCUCGGAACAAACAAAAGAGCAUGAGCAGAGCCUAGAAGAGUUUCUGGACCCCACUGACGUGAACAAAAGUCACAAGACUCUUAGUGAUGAGGAACCGGAGUUUUAUCAGAUCCCCUCUCCCACUUUAAAUAUUAUGCAAAUGUUUAUAUAUAUUGAUGCUAGUAUUAAGCAUGUGGUAAACUGUCUAGGGUUGUCAUUCCAUAAUGUGGAUUCACUCAUUCCCUAUUAACCAUUCUCUGCUUUCAUAAAGCCAAACUAUGAACUCC